Papio anubis (olive baboon) is the source of this 148-nucleotide unclassified non-coding RNA. It matches the Rfam family "Metazoan signal recognition particle RNA". Rfam says of the family: The signal recognition particle (SRP) is a universally conserved ribonucleoprotein. It is involved in the co-translational targeting of proteins to membranes. Lineage: Eukaryota; Metazoa; Chordata; Mammalia; Primates; Cercopithecidae. The record is from Ensembl.
GCCAGGUGUGGUGGCACAUGCCUGUAGUCCCAGCUACUCAGGAGGCUGAGACAGGAGAAUUGCUUGAACCCAGGAGGCAGAGGUUGCAGUGAGCCGAGAUCGCGCCACUGCACUCCAGCCUGGGUGACAGAGCGAGACUCUGUCUCUA